Non-coding RNA from Microcebus murinus (gray mouse lemur), 8454 nucleotides. NCBI's taxonomy places the organism in Eukaryota, Metazoa, Chordata, Mammalia, Primates, Cheirogaleidae. The record is from RefSeq and is a predicted model, not a curated record.
CCAACGGCCUUGGCCUCCCAAAGUGCUGGGAUUACAGGCGUGAGCCACCACACCAAGCCUUAAUAAAUAUUAUCUAUUCAUGAACACUGAACUCAACGGCCAACAGCACUAUAAGUCAAGCCUAAAUGAAGCUUACUUAAAAACACAUAUAUUCCCUGUAAGGCACAUUAUAGCCUUCUUGUGCUGAGGAACACUAGACAGCAGUAUACUUGGAGACUAUUUUAAACAGUGAAAUCACCAACAGAAAGCACAAAAAUGUGAAAAACAACAUAGCACUAAAUACACUGGAGAAAAGACCAUUGUUAUAGCAGGCAAGCUGAAGCAAGAAGGCUGAGCAAAACCUUGUUCGGCCUAAUCUGGGGACAUUAGGAAUCAGGUGAUUAAAAUUUUUUGCCAUUCUGCCCAGGUCUGCAAAUGACCACAACAGCACCCACAGUAUUGAUUUUUGGUUACAAGUAAUUUUUAGUGAAUAGGUGAAUUUGCAAAUACAGAAUCUCUGAAAAAUGAGAAUUGAAUAUGUAUGCUGGACAUGGUUUUGAAAAUUAUUUGUAGAAAUAUGAAGCCUUGAAUAAAGUUGUCUUCCCCUGAAGGGAUUUUAUUUUGUAUCUGCCAGAUGCCUGGGAGGCAUUAGCAAUCCCGGAGUACCCUAAUCCAAGUUUAAAGCCUGAGGUUUUCUGGUCCCCUGCCAUGAAUCAAGGCUGCAGAUCUAUGUAAGAUUUAGUUAUUUUUUGGUUCCUCAUUAACAUUCGAGAAUAGCCCUUUGUGAUUCCAGCUUAAAGUUGGAGUUGGUUUAUCAAAGUCCUCGUUUCAUCUGACGUUUUAAAUUGUGCUCCGUGGAGCAGCCAUCUGAAUUACCUAAUCUGACAGUUCUUACAGAAGUAGAACCUUCCUUUCUUUUUCUCUUUCUAAUUUUAAUUCUUUCUGCCUUCUAAUGAUUUUCACAUUGCUGUCUCUUCUCUUUCCUUCCUUUUUUUCUUUGGUUUUUGAAACAUUUACUGUAAUUGUUAUAAGAUAAAAUAAUUGUUCUCAGUAAAGUAUGAUUCUUAGAAUUACACUAAAAUGUAGCCUUCAGAUUACUUUAGUAAUAUUACUAAUAUUAUUUAGUAAAAUUCAUGGAUUUUUUUUAAAAAAGGAAACCUGGAAUUUGGAACAAGACCGUGAACUUUUUAUUCUGUUUUUUCAUAAAGUUACUCAUUAGCCUUCAUAUUAUUUUGGAAAAGUAUAGGAUAAAACAUGAUUUCUUAAUUUAGCUUUCACUUAAGUUUUUUAUUGUAUUUUAUAAUAUGGAUUUUAUAAUAUGGGAUUGCCUAUCAUGGAGUAGUUAAAUUUGAUGGAUCUUUUUUCUUAUCAAAUAAGAAAAGAUUUCUUAUCAAAUCUGCCCUUGUCCCCCUUUAUUCUGCUUUCUAGAUGGCAGCCCAGUGAUUAUAUUACAACUUAAGUUAGAUGAUUUGGCUUCUUUGCUCAGAAACCUCCUAUAACUUCCCAUUUCAUUCAAUAAAAACCAAAGUCCUUUUUGGGAUCCUUAGGGUCUAGAUGAUCUGGCUUCUCAUGACUUUUCUGACCCAAUUUUCUACUAGUCACUCCCUGUUCUUCAUGCUCUAAUCAUUUCAGCUUUUUUAUCUUCCUGGAACAUGUCAUGCAUUUUCUCAUCUGAAAGCCUUGAUGUUCUCUACGUCAAGAAAGCUCUUCCCCCCAAUAUCUGCAUCUAGCUUCCUUAUGUCAUUUUAGUUUUCCUUAAAAGUUGCCUUCUUAAUGAGACUUCCCUUGAUUAUCUUAUCUAAAACUUUAGUCUUCCUUCCAAAGCAUUGUAUUCCCUCCUUUCCUGUUUUGUUUUUCUCCUUAGCAGUUAUCAUACUAUAUACUCUACUUUUUUUCUCCCUUAUCAAAAUAUAAACUCCAUGAAAGCAGGGAUUUUUAUCUACUUUUCCCUACUAUGCUCCCAGUGCUUGUCAAAGAAAAGAGUAUAAUUAUUGACUGAAUAACGAAUGAAGGAAAUUUGUUACCAAAAGCUAUUUAAUUAAGAGCCUUAAUUGUUAAUUAGAUAAAUCUAUAUCAAAGUGCAAAUAGAGAAUAUAAGUGUAAAAACUUUCAGAUUGUAUUUAUUUCAGUUUUUAUUUUGAAAUAAUUCAAAUUUAUAGAAAAAUUGUAAGAGUAAAUGCUUUUUUUCUUGAUUCAUUUGAGAGUUAGAUGUUCCAUUACCCCCAAAUACUUUGGCACUUUUUUCUGACGAGCCAGGGAUUCUCUUCUAUAACAAGAGUGUUAACUAUUACAUCACGAAAUUAAUAUGAUUGAUACAUCUGUUACUACCAUCUAAUCUUUAGACUCCAUUUAGAUUUUGCCAGUUCUUCCAAUAAUGUCUUAUUUUGCAAAGUUCUAAUCUGGGAUCUUGCGUAGCAUUUGGCUGUCAGGGCUCUUUAUCUCUGUUUGUCUGGAAUGGCUUCACCGUCUUAUGACCUUGGUGCUUUUGAAGAUUACAUACCAGUGAUUUUGUAGAACGUGCCAUAGUUUGGGCUUGUCUGAUGUUUCUUCAUGAUUACAUGUAGGUUGUACAUAUUUGGCAGUAAUAUCACAGAAAUGAUGCUUUGUUCUUAUUCUAUAAGUUGAUACUCACUUUUGGUUUAUACCAUUACUACUGAUGUUAACUUUGAUCACUUGAUGAAGGUAGUGAUUGCUGGUUUUCUUCAAUAUAAAGGUACUUUUUUCUCCUUUGUUAUUAUUUUCUAAAGAGAAACUAUUAUGUUCCAUCAAACUUUCACCCAUUAGUUUUAGCAUUUAUUGAUGUUUCUUACCUGAUUUAAUUGUGACUGAGAUGGAAGUCAAGUGAUGAUUUUCUAAUUUGUUAUUUUUUCUACAGUUGUUGGGAUUAUGCUAUAAGAAAUCUCCCCAUUCAUAGAUUCAUUGAUUUAUUAAUAUUUAUAUCAGUAUGGGCUUAUGAAUUCUUGUUUUACUCAGUGAAUGAGUCAUAGUUCCUUAGUGUUACGUAUUUUGGUAUGCAAAUUGUCUCAGAUUUGGCAAGUGGGAUUCUUUUCAAAUUUCUGUGUACUUUAACAUGUUUCUUAGCAUUCUUUGAGCACCUUCUGUCUCUGGCACAAUAAGAUGUUCAGGUUUAUCUUGCAAUAUCCCUGCCCCACACCUGGAAUCAUUUAUUUUACAGGAAAUCAUGAUUCCAUUUUGUGUGAAGAAUGAUAUUUAGAACCCCAAAUCUGGAUACUAAUUGUGUUCCUUGUAUUGAGUGUCACCGUUCUCAGGCCCUUUCAGUAAAAAGAACUGGGAAAUAUAUGUAUGUAUGUACAUAUUUAUUCUUACAUUAAUUUUUGCAUCUAUAUAUUGAAAACUGAGUUUGCACUGAUAUCUUCACUCCUAACACCAUAGGGUUCAUUUUAGUUUCACCCUUUCUAUGUUUAUAACUUCCAGUGAGAAAAUGGGGUCCAACUACAAUAUAUUACAUAUAUGAUCAGUCUCCUAUAUGUAACCAGUCUUUCAAUCAUGCUGGCUACUACUCCUGGUGGUCACUUCCUUGAUUAUAUUUGACCCUUUCACCUAGUUGCACCCUAAAGGGCCUGCAGAUUUGUAACUCCUUUGCCCAUGCCUAAUGAUUUAAGGAAGAAAAGGGUCUUCACAUUUUAAUGCAUACUUUAGGAUUCUUUAGCCUCAUGCUUUGUGCUUUUAGGAGAAAAUGCCUUAUACUAAGGGGUUCUUUUCAUGUUUUAGUAACUGUCCAGUUUUGAUGAUGUGGAUAAGUCUUAGACUUUCAUUCUCAUCUUUAUGAACAUGGUUUGCUGUGUUCUGAGCUUAUCUAAUAGCUAACUUAAAGCAAAGCUCAUUAAACUGUGUUAUGUAAGAAAAGAGUUUGGAGGAUCCUAGGAGAUUUUUUUGUAAUUUCAUUUAAACCUCUGUUAACAUAGAGAACAUGAUUAACAUGAAGCUCACUUAGCUAAUAGUCUUGCUCUCUGACCAGCUAAUCUAUCAAUAUACUAGUAAUUGGAACAUUUCAAAGAUAUACUUUUAACUCUUAAUUUCUGAUGUUUCAGGUAGGUUUGCAAAUGGGACAAAAGGCAGGCAAAGAACAAGAAGGCACAGUAUGAGAAGAAUUAAAGGAUCUUGAAUGAUGUACUUAUUUGUUAAUUUAGCAAACAUUUAUUGAUUAUUUCAUGCAUAUUAAGCUGUUCUGCUAAGAAGAUUGUGUGUCAAAAUAGAUAGUGUUCUUGCCCUGAUGGAAUAGUUUCUUAACCUCAGCAUUUUGAACCAGAUAAUUCUUUGUCAUAGGAGGCUCCCCUAUGCAUUUUAAGAUCUUUAGCAGCAUCCCUGACUUCCACUUACUAGACAACAGCAGCACUCACUCCCCUACCUCCAUUUGCAGUAACCAAAAAUGUCUCCAUAUAUUGUCAAAUGUCUGCAGGGAGUCAGCAGCAAAAUCAGCACUCCUGAUUGAGUACCACUGUACACAGUAAAAUCAAAUACAGAUAUAGACAUUCAACAGCUAAUCAUUCAGUAUAAUUAUCAAGUGUGAUAAAUGCUAAUUAUGAAAAGUACAGAGAGCCAUGAAACUGUAAUUAACCACCUAGCCCAUUGAAGAGUUUAAACUUGAUAUAACAGACAAUAGAGAACCACUGGAGAAUCUUGAUGAGGAAUAUAUCAUAUUGAAAUGGUUACAUCUUCUGGAAGAAACCAUUUAUUUUUACUCCAAACGUGAUACUGCCAACAUUAGGUUACAAAAGAACCAUAUUAUGCAGCUAUCAAGUACAUAUACUAAAAGAAAAUUUCUUUCUUAAAUUAAACCAAAGAUAUAUAAGUCUCUUAUCCAAAACUGAUUUCCUAGGGUCAUUCAUAUACCUAAGUGGAUAUUGCAAAUUUCUCUUGCAAUUUUUAGGGUCAGUUAUGAAGUUACCAGGAGAUUUAAGAAUCUGUAUGUUUAGGAAGAAAAAAGGGAAGAAACUGAAGGAAAGAAAAAAGCUCACUGCUUUCAGGUUACAUUCUUCUUGUUGCCUGCUGAGAUCAGAUGGUGGUGGAGGGAAGAUACAAAAUUUUGAAAUAUGGGACAUUUGGGGAAAUUAAGGCAGAUCAAGAUGGUAUGAUGCAAUAGAAGAAGCAAGAAGACCUUAAAACUGGUAGAAAUAACAAAAGGGAGUAUAUAUUGGGAAAAGAGAUAUAAAUUAUGCCAAAGGUCCAUUUGUCUAUUUUGGAUAUCUACUUAGGGCCAAUUCCGUGCCUGGGAAGAGAGAUGAAAACUUUAACUUCCUUUUCAAGGGCCUAGAAUUAGAGCUGGUUUAGCUGGUACUAACUAGUACUGUUUAACUGAGGUAAUAGACCUUUGUGAUGACAUCCUCAAAUUUAAGUAUUUAUAGCAUUAUUCUCUGGAACAAAGCAUUCAGAGUACUCAAAGUUUACUAGUGAGCUUACAGAGUACAGACCACUUAUAAACCAAGGGACUACCUGAAAAGUGUUUGUUAUUUAAAAAUUUAAAGUCUAUUUGAGUUUGAAAAACUAAAAUGAAAAGUUGAAAAUACCAAAUCUAAGACUUGUGUAAAAUGGAAUUUGGCAAGUGAUUAAUCCUUAAAAAGGAGUAAUUGUUUUAUCUAUUUUAGGGAAAAAUUAAUUUAACAAACCUAUUAUUAUGUGAAAUUUAGGUAAUGAACAUGGGCAGUACAUAAUUUCCGUAACAUUUAUAGCAUCAACCACAAAAAAGGCUGAAUUAGUGUCAUCAAAUACAAAGAAUGUUCAUUUCAGAAUUAGAGCUGUUCGGAAAGCACUGCUCAUGGUUACUAUAAUUCAACAUUUCAAGACUAUUUAAAAUUGCUAUGUCAUAUCAGUUUAAUAGACGUACCUUCCAGAUACCUAUAUGCUUGAUUUUGGAUAAGUAUUAUACUUUUUGUAUUUUUCAAUAUUGAGUUUUGUUUUUUUUUUUAGUUAAACAUGUUCUUUCAUCCAAUAACUUUUGGUUUUGUAUCAAAAAUAAAGAAACUUUAGUUAUGUUAAAUAAUAAAACAGAGGUCUCCCAACCUGCACUGUUUUGGACCAUGUAGACAGUGUUAACCUAGCUCAGCAGCUGACUGUGAUUGACUAGCCAGACCUCUGUAGUUGCCCCCACAUUUCCCUGGAGCUAGUAGAAUUUUGGUUGGAUGAGGUAUCAAUGUAAAUAGCAAAUUGGCUAACUGAAGUGGUUUUAGACAGUUGGAGGCUCCAGAGCUAAAGUUCCUAGAGGCUAUCCAAUCUCCCAACACCCCUGAUACCUAAGAACUCAACCUUGAAUAGCUAUAUCAUGCUUUUCUGUCCCUCUCCCCCACUGCUCUGUUCCCCUGUGGACUGGGUCCUGUUUCAGCUCUUCCAUGCAUGUCCCAGGCCUAUUCCUGUAGACAAAGGUCCAUUCAGCAAUAAAUAUUUCUGCCUUUUCCAUUUUGCAUUUGUGAAUGAGUCUCCGUGUACCUCCCAGAUCAAAGUGCCUCUCCCCCACAACAGUGGACAAGAUUUGCCAGAGCCCUAUAGCAGAAUAUCUUGACCCUCUCUUCACUAGACUAAGGAGGAAAAAGAAAACAACAAAAUAAGAACAAAGAAUUUAUCAUUUUAAAAGAAGAAUAUAGCAUUCCUCCCCGCCCCUCCAAAAGAAAUGAGAGACUAAUUUCAUACAUAAAAUGUAGGUACAAUUGCAUUUCUUACAGGAUUACUCAUUAAAGCUUUCUUAAUACUUAAAUCCAAAUCAAAGCAUUUGGCAAGAAUGUCCACUUCAUUUAUCAUUGCCUUGGAUAUACUUUAAAAAGUCUGUCACAGCUGGUCUACGAAUGGAUUUUUGCACACACUAAAACUUGUAUUGUGGCAAAUGUCUUCAUGUUAUAAGACUUCUGUAGAUGCUUAAAAUGUUGUUCUUCAUGAUUUUGUCCUGAUAACUUUCUAGAAAUUCUUCCCUUUUAUAGUCUUCUUUUUUUGAAAAGCAUUUUAAAAAGCUGGCAUAAAAUUAUAGUGCAAUUUUCAUAAGUAAAAUUAGGCCAGGUAGUUCAGAAUUAGAAAAUUAAUCUUUUUCCAAAGCAUUAUCUCACUUCCUAUAUGUGUUUAUAACCUAGUAGUAUCAGUACCAACAGCUAAAAUCAGCUUGUUUUUAAAAAUAUUAUUUUAUCAUUUCUCUUUAAUGAAUUGACAGUUACUCAUGUAUUAGAUAGCCUUAAUCAAGAAACAUUUACUAAGAACCUACUGUGCAAUAGUAGUAUGUUUAGAUUCAAAGCAUUUUGAAGAAAUACCCCAAAUUGGAGCACAAAGGUAUUAAGCUUGCUGUCCUUUUAAAAUACAGUGUGUGUUUAUGAGAGAGAGAGGAGGAAAAGGAGAGAUUUAAUUCAUUACAGACAGUGAAUUAUGACUGGAAAUAAUCAGGGUAAGUUUAAUCAAAGUAGGUUUAAAGCAUUAUUUUGAAGGAAGGGGGAGGGUAGAUUAGUAGAAUGUAAAUUUGGGGUAAAUUGACAGGCAAAUCAGUUUCCAUUUACUAACUGAGCCACUUUCCUCCAUAGAAACAGAACUUUUGCCUUUUUGUUUUACUGAAGUAUAUAUGAGGCCAUAUUGCAUUUAGUCUGUAUAAGAAAGAGAAAUAGUUGGAGAAGGAGUUGUGAAGGAGAUAGGAAGAGAAUAAAAAGAUCACUGCACUAUAGAAGCCAAGUGAGAGCAAUUCUCACAAUAUUAUAUAAGGAUUUAAGGAGAAUGAGACUGGUAAAGAGGCUACUGAUAGCCUCAUUAGUGACUUUCUAGAGAUCAGUUCCAACAGAGUAGUGAUGAUAAAAAGCAAAUCGCCAAGAGUUGAAGAGUAAAUGGAUAUUGAAGAAAUGGAGAAAGUCAUUAUAGUUUUUUCUUUUGGGCUAUUUUUUGAUAAAUGGAAACAAAAUAGAUUGCAGCAGGCCAAAGAGAGAUGGGGUGUGUUGAGCAUGUUCAUAGGUUGAAGGCAAGGAGUCAAAAUGCAGAGGGAGAUUCAAGGGAAGUAUAAUCAUUGAAUUAACCAAAUCAUAGAGAUAACACUAAAAACAGGAUACAAGAAAAGGGGCUCUUGAAAAGGAGGAUGUAUUUGUCUUCUUUUGAAGAAAAGAAGGAAAAAGGAUAUUCCAAACAGAUUUUCAAAUGGAGAGCUGGGAAGGUAAGGUUAUUCACAUUGAGUGGUUUCUUUGUUUUCUAGGAAGUAAAGUUAUUAUAAAAUGUGAGAUGGAGUUUGGGGAAGAGGGGUUUGAAGAGAGUAAAGAAGAUGUGGCAUGAUUGCUUUGGAAAAUAAUCAUAUGGUCAAGACAGCUAGAGAUGAAUGAAAUAAUUUCCCAGGGUUGCAUGAAUUAUGAUAGAUUCAUUUGGCUUAGUUUUAUGAUUAAUAUAGCAAUAAUCAGAAUAGUUACACAUAAAAUAUAUAAUAUGUGUGGGAUAGAGACUGAUAAAAUGUGUGCAAUGAAAGAAAAAAUAGAUGAGAAAAGUAUAGGCUGUGGAUUCCAUAAAGAA